GAUGAAGAACGUAGCGAAAUGCGAUAAGUAAUGUGAAUUGCAGAAUUCAGUGAAUCAUCGAAUCUUUGAACGCACAUUGCGCCCAUUAGUAUUCUAGUGGGCAUGCCUGUUCGAGCGUCAUUAAGUCCACUUAAGCCCUGCUUAGUGUUGUGAGACUGCUCCAGCGGUGCUACCCUGUAGCUACCCUGCAGCUCCUCAAAGACAGCGGCGGAGUUGUGGUAUCCUCUGAGCUUAGUAACUUGUUCUAGCUUUCGAGUACACCACUUCCCCUGCCGUAAAACCCUUAAUUUUUAAUGGUUGACCUCGGAUCAGGUAGGAAUACCCGCUGAACUUAAGCAUAUCAAUAAGCGGAGGA
Molecule: unclassified non-coding RNA, 355 nt
Filed under: soil metagenome
Description: partial contains 5.8S ribosomal RNA, internal transcribed spacer 2, and large subunit ribosomal RNA
Rfam family: 5.8S ribosomal RNA (bases 1-120)
Source: RNAcentral